AAAGGCCUGCAUUUGUAAAUGCUUUAAUUGAGAAUAGUUCGAAAAAUCAAAAAAAGGAAAAAGAGGUGAGAUGGUUAAAUGUUGGGGGAGGGGUGGCUAUUUCCCGUAUGACAAAUCUCACCUCUGCUAUUUCAUUUCAAGGAAAAGGUCUCCUACUUUAGCCGUCUUGCCAUGUCUGCAAAGAGCGUUAUGGAGGAAUCGUUUUUGAUGAUCACAGACCAGUGCAUCAUUGAGUUCAAAUCAAAUAAGCUUAAUAUUGGAUCAGGGACUGUCUCAUUCGCAAUAAAGAUCGAGAGAAUGGCAAAACUAAAGUUUCGACGGGAAGAAUCUCUUUCACUAUUU
Molecule: non-coding RNA, 342 nt
Filed under: Thalassiosira gravida
Lineage: Eukaryota; Bacillariophyta; Thalassiosirophyceae; Thalassiosirales; Thalassiosiraceae
Source: RNAcentral